RNAcentral lists this unclassified non-coding RNA (214 nucleotides) under Hevea brasiliensis (rubber tree). Lineage: Eukaryota; Viridiplantae; Streptophyta; Magnoliopsida; Malpighiales; Euphorbiaceae. The record is from RNAcentral.
UUAACUAGUAAAAGCUGUAAGACGAGGUCGCCAAUGGCAGAGAAUUGAAGAAAAGAGCAACAGAUUAUUGAAAACCCUAAUUGAUUGCUUUAGAUUAAGCCUCGGAAGACGAAGAAGAAAACGAAGAAGGAUGGAUCAAGUCAGGUGUGGAUAGAGAUUGAAUUUUGGAUUUGAAAAUGCGAGAAGACCUAAAUCCAAAAGCUCAGCGGAGAGC